GAUGAACGCUGGCGGCGUGCCUAAUACAUGCAAGUCGAGCGAACGGACGAGAAGCUUGCUUCUCUGAUGUUAGCGGCGGACGGGUGAGUAACACGUGGAUAACCUACCUAUAAGACUGGGAUAACUUCGGGAAACCGUAGCUAAUACCGGAUAAUAUUUAGAACCGCAUGGUUCAAAAGUGAAAGACGGUCUUGCUGUCACUUAUAGAUGGAUCCGCGCUGCAUUAGCUAGUUGGUAAGGUAACGGCUUACCAAGGCAACGAUGCAUAGCCGACCUGAGAGGGUGAUCGGCCACACUGGAACUGAGACACGGUCCAGACUCCUACGGGAGGCAGCAGUAGGGAAUCUUCCGCAAUGGGCGAAAGCCUGACGGAGCAACGCCGCGUGAGUGAUGAAGGUCUUCGGAUCGUAAAACUCUGUUAUUAGGGAAGAACAUAUGUGUAAGUAACUGUGCACAUCUUGACGGUACCUAAUCAGAAAGCCACGGCUAACUACGUG
Molecule: ribosomal RNA, 497 nt
Filed under: uncultured bacterium
Lineage: Bacteria
Description: partial 16S ribosomal RNA
Rfam family: Bacterial small subunit ribosomal RNA
Source: RNAcentral